Molecule: long non-coding RNA, 532 nt
Filed under: Homo sapiens (human)
Lineage: Eukaryota; Metazoa; Chordata; Mammalia; Primates; Hominidae
Description: HSALNT0321278
Source: RNAcentral
UUUCAUGGGAGAAGCGCUAAACUUUACCUCAACAUUUAUGUAAAGUUAAAGCUGCACAGAUUCUGAGUCUUGAAAGUUUAUUUCAAAGAAAAGACAAUGCCUGUGCCACAUAUUUGACUUGGUUUUAUAAAUAUUACGAAGCUCCAGGAAAUAUGAGCAGGAUCUCAAAUAUAUUCAACAAGGGCAAUCAACAGCAAAGCCGAGGUUCUAUCCCCACAGUUGCUAUGGUUUUCAUGCUUGGAACAAUAAGUAAGAUACCUACUUAUAUGCCCAAUACUCAUCUAUAUGCAGAGGACGCAUCUCAACAGAAAUGAAUAAGAAGACAUAGUUUCUGUUCUUAAGAAGUUAACGGUAUUUAAGAAGAAGCUUCCAAUUUUUGUCUUUUGAGAUGGUUGCUCUUGGAACACAGAAAUAUGCUUUAAGAUGUCAAGCCUCCUCUGCUGAUGCUGUAUGGAGAACAGACAAGCUUUCCCAUCAAGCCCUAACCAAACUGCAGAACUGUGAAUAAAAUCAAUAAUUGUUAUGAAAAGGC